This 61-nucleotide transfer RNA is filed under the name Rhabdias kafunata. RNAcentral describes it as "tRNA-Ile". Lineage: Eukaryota; Metazoa; Nematoda; Chromadorea; Rhabditida; Rhabdiasidae. The record is from RNAcentral.
ACCCUAUUAGUAAAAUUAGAUUAUAUUAUCUUGAUAAGGUAAAGUUCCUUAGGAUAGGGUA